RNAcentral lists this ribosomal RNA (406 nucleotides) under uncultured bacterium. RNAcentral's name for it is "partial 16S ribosomal RNA". It matches the Rfam family "Bacterial small subunit ribosomal RNA", at positions 30 to 526 of the family's 1533-position model. The record is from RNAcentral.
ACUGAACGCUGGCGGCAGGCCUAACACAUGCAAGUCGAACGAGUGGCGGACUGGAGUGUAAUGUCUGGGAAACUGCCCGAUGGAGGCGGCUAACUACUGGAAACUGUAGCUAAUACCGCAUACCAUCGGAUGUGCCUAGAUGGGAUUAGCUAGUAGGUGGGGUAAUGGCGCACCUAGGCGACGAGCCCUAGCUGGUCUGAGAGGCUGACCAGCCACACUGGAACUGAGACACGGUCCAGACUCCUACGGGAGGCAGCAGUGGGGAAUAUUGCACAAUGGGCGCAAGCCUGAUACAGCCAUGCCGCGUGUAUGAAGAAGGCCGUCGGGUUGUAAAGUACUUUCAGCGAGGAGGCGUUACUCGCAGAAGAAGCACCGGCUAACUCCGUGCCAGCAGCCGCGGUAAUUC